UUAACAGAAAAGUUAAGACACAGAAGAUAUUUAUAUUACAUAAAUCUCACAAAGGACUAAUAACCAGAAUAUGCAAAGAAUUCAUACAAAUCAAUAAGAAAAAGACAUACAACCCAAUCCAAAAAUGGGCAAAAGACUUGAACAGACACUUCGUAAAAGAGAUUUCCAAAUGGCCAAUGAACACAUGAAAAGAUGCUCAAUUUCAUUACUCACCAGGGAAAUGCAAAUUAAUACCACAAUGAGAUACCACUACACACCACCAGAAUGGCUAAAAUGAAAAAGACAAAUAAGGUCAAGUGUUGGCUAGAACACAGAGCAAUCAGGAUUCUAAUACAUUGGAAGUAGGAAUGUAAAUUGGUUUACACAUUUUGGGAAACUUGUGAUGUCUAUUCAAGUUGAUCAUACACAUACCUUAUGAUUCAAUAAUUCCAUUUCUAAGUAUAGAUAGAUAGGAAUAUGUAUAUAUAGUCCCAAAUAGACAUGUACAAGAAUUUUCACAGCAGCACUUUUUAUAACAGCCUCAAACUGCAAAUAACCCAAAUGCCAUCAACAACUGAAUAAGUAGCAGUAUACUCACAUAAUGGAAUACUAUAAUGAAAAUAAACAAAGUUUAACAACAUGUAACAAUAUGGAUGAAUCUCACUGGCACAAUGUUGAACAGCUCAACAUAAAAAAGCUCAUACUGUAAUGAUUCUAUUUACAUGAAGUUCAAAAUGGGUAACACUAAUCUAUGGUAUUAACAAUGAGAUUGGUUACCUGGGGUGGGGAGAAGGGCUAGCUAUUAGAAGGGAGGCAUGAAAGAGAUUUUGGGGUUCUGGCAAUACUGUGUUUCCUCAUCUAGGUGCUGGUAUCACAUGGUGUGUUCACUUCGAAAAUGCAGACUUGCACACGUAGAAUUUGCGUACAUGUUUAUAUUAUUUUCAGUAAGACUUAUUAAUAUAAAACAAAAACAAAACCUUUGGGUUUGUGACUCCUGUAGACAAGUGGCUGGGAAGAUAACAAAGGAUAACAGAUUAGGCUAUGCCAGGAUCAGCCAAGAUGCAGGCCAGUUCUAUACUUCAGGCAGCUUGCCCAAUCUCUAGGGCAGAAGACUAGUCUAGUAUCUAAGGCAACAGCACAUGGCAGAAAAGGGGAGGGUUUCGCUUUCUUCAUCUACUCUUUCUCCAUACUUCAUUCCAGGAGAUUUUCUGUAUAAUUCUAAGGAGUAAGCUGAAAGCUAAAAAGCAAAAGGGAGCUUCAUAAAUGAGAAUAUGCACAAUAUUUCAAGUAUAUUGAAUGAUCUAGAAAAUUUUCAAAAGGUAGGGAUAAUCAGAGUCAAAUAAGGAGAAUGCAGGUUGUUCACCAAAUUAGUUCAGGGUUAAAAGUUUCAUUUGAUUAUGAGUUCAAUGGGGGUAGAAAAUUAUUUGACAGCAGUCUUUUGGGCUGCUUUUAGAUACCCUAAGGAGAAAACAGAGUACAACUUCGGGGAGGGGUGACUGCUCAAUUUCUCACCAUAGCCUUUUUGUCAUAUAGCUUGUUGCUAUGGAGAAGGCCGUGAAGGCAGCAACUAAAGGAAAUAAAGGAUCUGGCAGGAGUAAGCACAGGGAUAGUAGAUUAAACAAAAAUUUCUUGAGCAAUUAGUGAGUAGCAGGGCCUAUAAAUGACAUACUUUUCUUGUUUUUCCUAACCCCUACCCCUUUGAAAGUACAUGGGCUUGGUUUACCACUAUAAUUUAAUUGAAAUACAGAGAAGCCUGAAUGGGCCUAACAAAGCUUAAGCCUGGCAGACAAAACACAAGGCCACUUAGCAAUGCUGCCUAAUGCCAGGAGGAAUCAGCUACCUACCCACCCUAUCCUGGUGAAAUUAUCUCCAGCUGCCUAAAUUAUAAAGUUGAUGCCCUGUGAUUUCUUUGUUCUGUAAAGCCUGAGGGAGAUGGAAUAAUGAGGUAUCAGAAGAGGUGGAGAACAGCCCCUUGUUUCAGAGUAGUCAGAGAGAGAGAGAGCGAGUUAAAGAGAGAAAUGGAGUUAGUUCUCACCGGUAUCAUUAAGAGGCAGCAGCAGCCUCAGUAGCAAUAGCUUGGGAGCAAAGCUCUGCUUGAACUAGUCUGAAACUACUGCUGUGGGAGAAAAGGCUAGUUGCCAACUUUGUUAAUAGCUUCUGCCUAUCAUUGUUACAGCAGCUUUAUCAAAUAGGGCAGGGCCAGGACCUGUUUUUAGCAGUGUAAGCACUAAGACCAGAGGGCUCAACAUCUUCCAGCAGAUUUCAUCACAACCAAUGACUAACAAAGACAAGUCCCUCUUCUAUUCCACAUAAAUGAUUACAGAGUUGUAAAUAUCAGAGCUAGAAGGAUCAUAGAGAUCAUGUAGUCCAACCUCCUCAUUUUACAAAUAAGGAAAUUAAGGCCCAGAUAGUCAAACGACCUUAUUAACAGAGCAAGAAAACACCAAGGCUCUCAAAUAGGACUUUUUCCCCUUUGAAUCACACUUCAAAGCUAAGUUAGUUAGGGCUAAUGAUUAAUCCCAGGCAAUACCAGUAAGAUAUUUAUUGCCUAGGUAUCACUCAACUAAAUUCCUAAGUAUCAGGAUGAUUUUGAUAACAAAAUAGGUCUGGGUUUUGUUACUGAAAUAUAAAAAGAAUCUCAUUUGCAAACAACCUUACCUAUCUGGCAAGCUCACAGCCUAGUCACCUAUAUAUACUGCCUGACUGUGCUUUGCUUGGGGGAGGGAGGAGGUGUGUGAGCAUGCACAAAGGGAGACUCUCUUUCUCCCCUGGAGAUUAGUCUAUUUUGCCAUUUGCAAAAUGAAACUCAAAAAAGCCGGUGACUGAAAUUUUUCCCAAGGUCUUCAGGAUUUAAAUGUAUGACAGUGGACAUAUAACACAAUCCACAAAGGUAUAUAAACACGUCACUGCCCUAAAGUAUCCUCUGGGAGUAAGCUGCUAGGUGGGAAUGUGUUGGCUGUUGUUUUUGGUGGGGGAGGGGUGGGAGAAAGUAGGUACUGAUUUCCCUAAUGUUUCCUUUGUGUGGCUGCUGUUGCCAUGUGGUGGUCUGUUGCUAUGAAGAUUUGUGGUGUCAGACAAUGGCUGCUAGGCUCUUUAUGACUGUGCUAUUGGUAGAGCUAUUUCUUCGGGAUUCAAGCUAGUAUGCAACUGGCUAAACAGUGGAGAAAGCUUGGUUGUUACUGUGCCCCAUCUCUCCUCUAGGGUAGCCAACAAGAUGUAAGCAGAAGUCUUAUGGUGUGGCUUCUGGGAAACCUCUCCAAAGGAAUUUCUGAUUAAAUGAAUACAAGAAGGAAGAGAGACUGGCACAAAAUAGAGAGAAUAACCAGUUAUAAAGAGAAAUGAGAUUUAUGACCAAGGCAAGAGAGGAGAGUUUCAAGAAUAAAGAAAUAAGAGAGCUAAUAGAAGUCUAGGAAGGACUGAGAGAAGACCUCUGGAAAACUGAUCUUCAGAGAAUGAUCUUUGCAGGAAAUCUCUGUUACCUGAAGAUGAAAAGGAAUGUGAACCAACUCUGAUCCCAAUUCAGACCUUCGCCAACUGACAGUUCAGGUGAAGGCCCUCUGGGGUGACCAGAAAGCAAAGAAAAGAUGAGUAUAUUAUUGCUGAACAGUUCUCUUUCAGAAAAAGAGAAUAAAAUAAAGAAAGAGACCUAAGCCUUGAAAUACACUGAUGAGUGAUGAUAGAGACCCAAGUACUUCCUCUGAAGCUGACUGUAUGUUUACCAUAGAAGGCUGAUAAUCCCUCCUAUUCCUGUAUGGUUACAAGUUGCCAGCACUACAGGAAAGAGAAGCCUGGAAGUACAUUAUGGGAAAAGAAGUAGAUAGGUCUUCAGUGUAAAAUCUGAAGGGGUCAUCAAACUCCUGCCUACUCCUUUCUCUCCAAGAAUAUGCUGUGGGGAAGAAAAGAUGAAGAUGCGGGAAGAUGGGAGAAAAGAAUCCUAACAUAAGAUAUAGAAGAUACACAACGGGCUAACAUCAUAAUCCAGCUAGUAAUAAAACUCUUGGCCAGGACACAAGGAAGCAGUUCCCAAUAUGCCAACUAAGGUAGCUACCUUCUUGGUGUUCCUCAGUGACCCAUACUGAGCCCCUUUCAUUCAAUACAGACACAUUCUUCCUGGGUAAGUGCACUCACUUCUAUGGCAUCAAUUACCAUUUAUGUGUUCACAUUAAUAAACUCUUAAAUCUUUAGAUUUCCAGUUCUCUCUCUCACACAUCCAGUCCUCAAGAGACAUUUCUACUUGGUUGUUCAUUCAUUCAACUCCCUCUUCCAAAUUAACUACCAUUUAUCCUUCAGAUAUUUACUCAAACUUCUUCACGGAUAUUUUCCCUGA
Molecule: long non-coding RNA, 4306 nt
Filed under: Homo sapiens (human)
Lineage: Eukaryota; Metazoa; Chordata; Mammalia; Primates; Hominidae
Description: HSALNT0381776
Source: RNAcentral